CCCCUCGUCGUUCAACGGAUAGGACGCGGCCUUGCGGAGGCCGUAAUGUAGGUUCGAUUCCUGCCGAGGGGA
Molecule: transfer RNA, 72 nt
Filed under: Candidatus Kaiserbacteria bacterium CG10_big_fil_rev_8_21_14_0_10_59_10
Lineage: Bacteria; Candidatus Kaiseribacteriota
Description: tRNA-Arg
Rfam family: tRNA
About the family: Transfer RNA (tRNA) molecules are approximately 80 nucleotides in length. Their secondary structure includes four short double-helical elements and three loops (D, anti-codon, and T loops). Further hydrogen bonds mediate the characteristic L-shaped molecular structure. tRNAs have two regions of fundamental functional importance: the anti-codon, which is responsible for specific mRNA codon recognition, and the 3' end, to which the tRNAs corresponding amino acid is attached (by aminoacyl-tRNA synthetases). tRNAs cope with the degeneracy of the genetic code in two manners: having more than one tRNA (with a specific anti-codon) for a particular amino acid; and 'wobble' base-pairing, i.e. permitting non-standard base-pairing at the 3rd anti-codon position.
Source: RNAcentral